RNAcentral lists this ribosomal RNA (473 nucleotides) under Tychius picirostris. Its description in RNAcentral is "partial 16S ribosomal RNA". It matches the Rfam family "Bacterial large subunit ribosomal RNA", at positions 1832 to 2566 of the family's 2925-position model. Lineage: Eukaryota; Metazoa; Arthropoda; Insecta; Coleoptera; Curculionidae. The record is from RNAcentral.
CUUUUGAUUAUAAUUUAAGGUCUGACCUGCCCCCUGAGGAGUUAAAUGGCCGCGGUAUUUUGACCGUGCAAAGGUAGCAUAAUCAUUAGUUUUUUAAUUGAAAGCUGGUAUGAAAGGUUGGAUGAGAAAAUAACUGUCUCUAAUUUAAUUUAAUAGAAUUUUAUUUUUAAGUAAAAAAGCUUAAAUAUUUAUAGAAGACGAGAAGACCCUAUAGAGUUUUAUAUUUGAUUAUUAUAGGUUUUUUAGAAUUUUAAUCUUUAUGAUAUUUAAAUAUUUAGUUGGGGUGAUUGAAAAAUUAAAUUAACUUUUUUUUUAUUAUUACAUUUAUUUAUGAAUAAUUGAUCCUUAAUUAAAGAUUAUAAGAUAAAAUUACCUUAGGGAUAACAGCGUAAUUUUUUUUGAGAGUUCAAAUCGAAAAGAAAGAUUGCGACCUCGAUGUUGGAUUAAAAUUUACUUUUGGUGUAGAAGCUAAA